UGCCCCUCUAUAAUGCUUCUUCUCAUCAUCAUCAGCCGGUUUGGCUUUAGGUGUCGAAGACCGCUUUACCGAACCAGAACCUGAAUACUCUUGAGAUUUUAAGUCAACAAAUUCGUGGGUAUAUUGAAACGAGUCGGAAACAGAGGAGUUGGAUUCAGACCCAGAUAAAGAUUCAUCUUGGGUUUCAAGUUUAACGGGUUGGAG
This 204-nucleotide unclassified non-coding RNA is filed under the name Hevea brasiliensis (rubber tree). The record is from RNAcentral. Lineage: Eukaryota; Viridiplantae; Streptophyta; Magnoliopsida; Malpighiales; Euphorbiaceae.